Non-coding RNA from Mustela lutreola (European mink), 3105 nucleotides. The record is from the annotation of a RefSeq genome assembly. Lineage: Eukaryota; Metazoa; Chordata; Mammalia; Carnivora; Mustelidae.
CUGGCCCUGUGAUGGCCUUUAUUUUCUGCUCCUUUCUGUGGGGUUUUCUGAGCACCGAUGGCCGGUCCGUGGGACAGGCCCCCCAGGGGCAGGCUGGCCGGGAGGGGCGAGGACCAGGCGAUCUGGGGACUUCCGCGCCUCUUGAUUUUCCAGUGCCGUUCUAAAACUGGAAUCCUGCCGGCAGGCCCUGUGCAGGACCUGAGCCCCUGAAGAGGGGGCUGGAGGCUGGGCCGGCCACUGAGGGCCGGGACUCCCUCGGCCGCAGGGCCACCGGGCGCUUAGAAUCCUGGGGUCAGCUAGGAACGAGCACGGCCGGCUGUGUGUGCAGGAGAGGAGAGGGCUGCGGGUCGUGGGAGACUGUGCUGGGAACCAGGAGUGCGGUUCGGGGCUAGGCUGUUUAGGAUUCCUGGUCUGGGACAGAGCCGUCCAGGCAGGGAGGGACACUGAGGGGCAGGUCUGGGGCCCAGGGAGCUGGGCUCUGCGCGGUCGGCCCCCAGGGGAGCGUGGCUUGUGCCUGCUAAGCGAAUGCGCUCGCAACAUGGACGGGCAGGACGUCCUUGAAGGGUUUCUUUUCUCCUGCGAGAAAUCGCUAAACAAUGGUGACUUUAAAAUGUCGGAGAUUUUCAAGUGUAUUAGACUUUUUAGUUGUAUCAGGCCAUUAACCUGCCAGAAUCUUAUCUUUCUGGAGUCGAUACGAGAAGGCGGCCCCCGCCACAGCUGAGUUUUGACGAUGAUCAAUGAAGUUUAUUUUUUGUUUAAUUCAGCGAUUCAGGAAGCGGCAGGAAGCGGCGGCCGUGCCGGUGGGGGCAGGGCCAGGCCGGGGCAGGUGGCAGGAAGCAGGUCUCUGGGACCGUCUAUUUUAGGAAGCAAGAAAACACUUGCAAAUUCAUAGUUUGUGGUUAGCAGAAGUGGUUUUCGGGCGGUUUUGCCCAGCCCCAGGGCCAGCUCGGCCUCCUGCAAAACAACACCUGCACGAUUUGCAUUUUCUAAAAUAAGCCCGAGAGGCUGGCAGGAGCCCAGAGCCUUCUUUUUCUGACUUUCCGAAUUUAAUCUCUCCGUCUGAAUUACACUCAUUUCCAAAGUAAGACGUUGAGGACCUUCCGCUGGUCUCAGGGACGGUUUGCAGCGCGUUCCUGUUCCUGUUGGGUUUUCUGAAUCAGUGGUUCCUGGUCAUUGACCCCAAACCGCCCUCCGGUGCCCCGAAGCAGGGUUUUGGGAACUCUGUGUCCGUGUUCUAAGACUUUCUCUUUGUGAGGGAGAGGCAUGGAGGUACCCUGAGGAGGUGACCUUCCUGGCCGCCUGUUCGCAGACCUGUUUUCAAGCAUUCCUUUGGGGACAAAUUUUAGAGGAAACGAGUGAUUGUCCUGAGUGGUUUCAGUGAAGCGCGUUCUUGUUGGACUAAGAGGAAGCCCCGUCAGGUCUCGAAUCAGAAAGGAACUCUCCCGCGCCGAUGGGGCCCCCCAGCCCGCCGUGGCUGGGGGUCUCCCCGGGCCCGCCGUGGCUGGGGGCAGGCACUCGUGGCUUCUGCCGCCAGGCCAACCGCCUGUGCAUCAACCACCCGAUUUUAAUGGAUUUGGAGGAAUUCUCCCAAGACCCCCACAAGUGACCAGGGAGCCCAGCUGACUCCGAAACGCUGCAUCUGUUCCCCUUGGUCUCAGAGUGUAAAGUCCCGAAGCAAGGCGACUCCCUAGGCCUGGCCUGCUUGGCACAAGGACCCUCCGUGGAGUCCUUGCGGGUGGCCUCGAGCUCGAGCUCGGGGCCGCAGACGACCACCAUGAUCACGCUGGGGAGCCGAGAGCGCAUGCAGCUGUCCUUCCUGUCGGUCUCCUGGAAGCCGGACCCGCACUUCUGCAGAGCCGUAGUUUCCGGCCGCCCGCAGCAGAAGCCCAUCCCGUGGCCAGAGUCCUGGGAAAGGAAGACUGACCCACCGGCUCACGGGCCGUCUCCGCCGGAGACCUCCACACCCAGCGCCCCAGUGUCCUCCACCCGCCACACCCGGACACAAGCCGCGGAGUCAGGAAGCCCAGUGGACGCUACGCUCAGAGACUGCCGGAACCACACUCACCCUCCCAGCCUCUACCUGCUGCAGCCUCCCCUGCGGGGCCCGUGGCUCCAGGGAGAGGCCACCUUCACCUGCCUGGCGGUGGGGGAUGACCUGCAGGAGGCCCGCAUGUCCUGGGCGGUGGCCAGGGCGCCCCCCAGCGGGGCGGUGGAGGAGGAACUGCGGGAGGAGCACACCAACGGCUCCCAGAGCCUGAGCAGCCGGCUGGCCUUGCCCGUGUCCCUGUGGGCCUCGGGGACCAGCAUCGCCUGCACGCUGAGCCUGCCCAACAGGCCGGCCCAGGUGGCGUCUGUGGCACCGGGACAGCACGCGGCCACCGCGCCCAGCAGCCUCACUGUCCGCGUCCUGACCGUGCGCCAAGCCGCCUCCUGGCUCCUCUGUGAGGUGUCAGGCUUCUCGCCCCCGGACAUCCUCCUCACCUGGCUCGAGGGCCGCACGGAGGUGGACCCUGGUGCCUUUGCCACCGCACGCCCCAUGGCCCAGCCUGGGAACAGCACGUUCUGGACCUGGAGUGUCCUGCGUGUCCUCGCAGCCCAGAGCCCAGGCCCGGCCACCUACACGUGUGUGGUGAGGCAUGAUGCCUCCCGGAAGCUGUUCAACAGCAGCCAGAGCCUGGACGCUGGUCUGGCCACGACGCCCCCACCGCCCCAGAGCCACGAGGAGAGCAGGGGGUACGCCACAGACCUGGGGUACGCCACGGACCUGGGGGACGCCACUGACCUGGAGGACACGGGCGGGCUGUGGCCCACGUUUGCCGCCCUCUUCCUGCUCGCUCUGCUCUACAGCGGCUUUGUCACCUUCAUCAAGGUGAAGUGACGCUCAGCCUCCAUGCUGUCGCCAAGGGCAAAGGGGCCCAGCCGGACUCCAGCCCCACCUCCGCCCACGCCCCGCGCACCGCUGUCCACCCCUGUCCAGAGCUCAGCGGCCAGUUCCCAGAGAGGAGGGCGUCGCAGCCCGCGCACCCCCGAGCCAGCAGACCUCACCGCAGCCCCUUGCCUUCACACUGGCCAGCCGGCCCCAUAAACAACCUUGCUCGUUCCGUG